This is a long non-coding RNA of Stegastes partitus (bicolor damselfish), 338 nucleotides long. RefSeq lists it as uncharacterized. The record is from RefSeq and is a predicted model, not a curated record. Lineage: Eukaryota; Metazoa; Chordata; Actinopteri; Pomacentridae. The transcript has 3 exons.
AUUGAAAACCUGAAACAAGCUGGCAUCACCCUGCAGUUCUUCUUGCCUUUCCCUCUGGAGGAGGAUGAAGAGGGUGACGGAGACGCAGACAGAAGAGGCCCCGGCCACCCAGGACCAGGAACAGGAAAAGGUCUGUCCAGGGAACAGAGGAGCGGCCUGGAGAUGGUGAGACGCAUCAUGCUAAGUCUGGAUGAGGAGGACGGCCUGGAUGAAGUUUACACCUUCAGGAAUGCGAUCGAGCAGCUUUGCAUGUUCAAGCGUAUUGAGAGGAGACCAAUGGCCUGGCCCUGUCAGCUAACCAUUGGCAGCGCUCUCUCCAUCCGUAUUGUUGGCUACAA